RNAcentral lists this ribosomal RNA (550 nucleotides) under uncultured bacterium. Its description in RNAcentral is "bacterial SSU rRNA". It matches the Rfam family "Bacterial small subunit ribosomal RNA", at positions 355 to 896 of the family's 1533-position model. The record is from RNAcentral.
UAGGGAAUCUUCGGCAAUGGACGGAAGUCUGACCGAGCAACGCCGCGUGAGUGAAGAAGGUUUUCGGAUCGUAAAGCUCUGUUGUUAGAGAAGAACGUUGGUAGGAGUGGAAAAUCUACCAAGUGACGGUAACUAACCAGAAAGGGACGGCUAACUACGUGCCAGCAGCCGCGGUAAUACGUAGGUCCCGAGCGUUGUCCGGAUUUAUUGGGCGUAAAGCGAGCGCAGGCGGCUCUUUAAGUCUGAAGUUAAAGGCAGUGGCUUAACCAUUGUACGCUUUGGAAACUGGAGGACUUGAGUGCAGAAGGGGAGAGUGGAAUUCCAUGUGUAGCGGUGAAAUGCGUAGAUAUAUGGAGGAACACCGGUGGCGAAAGCGGCUCUCUGGUCUGUAACUGACGCUGAGGCUCGAAAGCGUGGGGAGCAAACAGGAUUAGAUACCCUGGUAGUCCACGCCGUAAACGAUGAGUGCUAGGUGUUAGGCCCUUUCCGGGGCUUAGUGCCGCAGCUAACGCAUUAAGCACUCCGCCUGGGGAGUACGACCGCAAGGUUG